This is a long non-coding RNA of Mauremys reevesii (Reeves's turtle), 1880 nucleotides long. RefSeq lists it as uncharacterized. NCBI's taxonomy places the organism in Eukaryota, Metazoa, Chordata, Testudines, Geoemydidae. The transcript has 4 exons. The record is from RefSeq and is a predicted model, not a curated record.
UUAAGAGAAGCACAGCACAUGACGUGUCAGUUUGCCAAGCAGAAGAAAAUGUCUCCAUGCGGCAGCUGUAGAGCACAGAGCGUUUCCCAGGUUCCUCCUCCCCUGGUGUUAGGUGAACGCUGCUGGUACAGUGCCUGAAGAAGCCUAAAAAGCUACAGAAAAGCCAAGAAAUACACCCCAAGUACUGCAUUAAAAUGAAACAUCCCAAGAGACAGUAUGUCUGGGCAAAAAGUAGGCCCAGAGAGCGGCACAUGGCUUGAAGCACUGCAACAUCCCUUCGGACUUGAGACUUGGAACCGCCCUUGAUGAGCCAGUCAUCGAGGUACAGGUAGAUCUGGAUACCCUGGCACCUGAGGGCCCCACCACUGAAGAGCAGAUCCUGCAAUGACUUUUGGGCCUCAGUGGACAACCCAGAGAGGAGCUGCCAAGAGACUCGCCGCAUGGAGAUAGUGGAAGCCAUGGUACAGGCAGCAGUCGAGUCCUCAUCAAGGAUCACUCGGAACUCCUCCUUGGAAGCCUCAGGGAGCAACCCUUUGAACUUGGCCAUGGCUUGCCACAUAUUGAAGUCAUAUUGGCCAAGGAGGGCUUGGUGAUUGGCUACUCUCAGCUGAAGGCUGGAAGAUUAAUAAGCCUUUCGACCGAAAAGAUCCAGCUUCCAUGAGUCUUUAUUUUUGGGGCUGGCCCCGGGUUGUCCCUGCCUCCUCUUGUGGUUCACCACCUCAACCACAAGAGAAUUGGGGGCUGGGUGGGAGUAUAGGUACUCACGCCCUUUGGUCGGCAUGAAGUACCCACUUUUAGAGAUGGGCCAAGGAAGAGGUGGCCUGGCACAGGGCAUUAGUGAUUUUGGAGACCCCCUUCAUGAAGGGGUAGGACCACCCUGGUGGGAGCUGAAGAACAUAGGACAUCAAACAGAAUCCAAGGACUCUUCCAGUUCCUCUGCCUGAAGCACCAGGUUAGAAGCAACCCUCUUCAAAAGUUCCUGGUGUGCUCUGGUGUUAUCCUGAGGAACCAAGUGAGAGGGCCCUGUGAUAGCCUCGUCUGGUUCCAAUGAGGAUGAUGCGGGAACCUCCAUGUCCAUUGGUGGUCUAGCAGCUUGGUCCCCUGGGUCUUCCUGGACCUGCAAGGUCUUAUCCCCUGAAGCCUCGAGCACCAGAGGGGGGUGGGAUACUGAGGCCACUGGCCUCUCCGAGGCUCCCAACACUGAUCGGGCAGCCUGGGAAGGUUGGGCGAACCCCCAGGGAUUCCACGGGUAUCAUGGUGCCGGCCACUGCACUUAGGGCCAUGGGGCAGGUUUCGGUGCUGAUAAUGUAGUCGGCACUGCCGGUACUGGGGCUUGUCCUGCAGUCAGGGAACCUCACUCUGAGCCAGAGCUACCAGCAGAGUAGUCAGUACUGGGUGACGAGGAUUGGGGUGAGCAGUGGUUCUUGUCUGACCGGUGCUGGUGCUGCAUCCUGAAGCCGACCUGUCUGAGCGAGAUUGUCUUGGUUGGGCUCUCGGGGACCGACAGCAUUUGGCAGAUCUGCGUCUGAUACCUGGUUAUCCACACCUCACGCUACUUGACCGGUACUAUGGGCUGGUUGCCAGGAGGAUCAUCCUGAGUAGGGCCAUCUCCUUCUUGGAGACGGGCGAUGAUGGCCCAGCGAUCGGUGAUCUCUGGUGCCUGAUUGGUCCCAGGAUCAGUACCAGGCCCUUGGAGAUAGUCAGGGCCAGUCCCGAAGUUCUUGCUGGGUGGUACGUGCCCCAGAGGGUCUGCGCCAUUCCACCAGCGAGGUACGCCUUGAGUCUCUUGAUCGGUGUCCCUGAUGUGGGCUCAGCUUAUUUAUGUCACCUGAAAGUGAGUACAGGUGUUCGCAUUGCACUGUUGUAGCUGCCAUUGCAAG